AAUAAAAUAUAGAUUAUUAAAAUUAUUUAUAGUCCAUAAAUACAAACCCAAAAUUAUAGCCUAAUUUAUAAACCCACUUUACAAAUAGACCUAAAGCUCGAUCAUAAAAUAAACCUAACCCAAACAUUUGGACUCAGUAGUCCAAUUUUAGCAUGGAUCCAGUGGCCCAAUCCUAAAGCCAAACAAUUUCAGCUCUUGGAAACCCUAGCAGAGACCGUAGCUGCCCAAGAAUGGCCUCUCCAUUUCCGUACACAGUGCCACGUCCGCAACCUCAUGCUUCCGUACGACCUCCACGUCAAUCGAACCUACAAGAACAAAAUAACAGCAAGAAGGGCGCAACAAUAUACAAUAAAUAACCAGCAAAAAUAACAGAAAAUAAUAGCGAAAAAAAUAGGGAAAAUGGGGAUGUAAUUUCAUUUUUAUUUUCGGUUAUAAAAAGCCGAAUGGAAUUUGUGUAAACCUUAUGCAUACUAAAUGCAAGAAAAGCAACCAAAAAUUAUCAGAAGUGAUCUCAAAUUCCGUUUCAUUUCCUUUGAUUUUUUUCUUUUUGAUUUGCAUGGAAUUUUUAGCGUGAGAAAACGAAAGGGACUUACCUGAGUCGACGCCGAUGAGAGCCCAAACACCUAAAAAAUGUGGAGGUUUGUCGAAUGGUGUUUAAAUCCUCUUCAUUCUAUGAAUUUGGCUUUGUAUUUUUUUUAAAAGAAAUAACAUAGGAUUUAAGUUUUUUUCUUUUUAAGUAUAAAGAAGAGAAGGAGACUUUCCAAAUCUCCAUGGGCAUAGUCGAAGUUCUCCGCCGUUGGCAAGUUCAGGCCAUCGUCUGUACGCUGUCGGCCACCGGAUAUGGUGGUUGUUCGGCUGCUGCAAUUUUAUUGAUUGAAACCUUAGCUGAAAGGGUUAAGAAUUUUGGGGAUUUUUGCUUAGAAAAAGGGAUUUGUAAGCUUUUA
RNAcentral lists this long non-coding RNA (944 nucleotides) under Gossypium barbadense (sea-island cotton). Its description in RNAcentral is "long non-coding RNA (GBAR_LNC010097)". The record is from RNAcentral. Lineage: Eukaryota; Viridiplantae; Streptophyta; Magnoliopsida; Malvales; Malvaceae.